CCUUGACAGUUGCAUUCCGCAGCUGACAUUUGCCUAGACAAGGAGACACAAUG
RNAcentral lists this non-coding RNA (53 nucleotides) under unclassified sequences. RNAcentral describes it as "Mu-gpT-DE RNA". It matches the Rfam family "Mu-gpT-DE RNA". The record is from RNAcentral.